RNAcentral lists this ribosomal RNA (245 nucleotides) under uncultured bacterium. Its description in RNAcentral is "partial small subunit ribosomal RNA". It matches the Rfam family "Bacterial small subunit ribosomal RNA", at positions 26 to 285 of the family's 1533-position model. The record is from RNAcentral.
AGGACGAACGCUGGCGGCGUGCCUAACACAUGCAAGUCGCACGAGAAAGGGUAGCAAUACCUGAGUACAGUGGCGCACGGGUGAGUAACACGUGAAUUAUCUACCUCCGAGUGGGGAAUAAACUGAGAGAAAUCUUAGCUAAUACCGCAUAACACUUACGAGUCAAAGCAGCAAUGCGCUUGGAGAGGAGUUCGCGGCAGAUUAGUUAGUUGGCGGGUAAUGGCCCACCAAGACGAUGAUCUGUA